Condylura cristata (star-nosed mole) is the source of this 390-nucleotide non-coding RNA. The record is from the annotation of a RefSeq genome assembly. Lineage: Eukaryota; Metazoa; Chordata; Mammalia; Eulipotyphla; Talpidae.
AUGGCGCCCUCCAGCCUGCUGUGGGCACUGGUGGCCUUCACCUGCUCUGGAUCCAGUGUAGCCCAGAAAGUUAUUCAAGAUCAACCAACUACAACCAGACAAGAAGGGUCAGCAGUCACCCUGAAGUGUCGCUAUGAAACAAGUUGGAAUAACUACUACUUGUAUUGGUACAAGCAGCUUCCUGAUGGAAAGAUGAGUUACAUUAUUCAUCAGUCUUCUUCUGAAGACAAUGCAGUAAAGGGUCGCUAUUUUAUCAUCUUCCAGAAAGCAGACAAAUCCAUCUCCCUCACCAUUUCGCCCUUACAACUAGAUGAUUCAGCAACGUAUCUCUGUGCUCUCUGGGAAGGCACAGUGUUUGAGGCAAUAGUAAAAGCUGAACAAAAACCCUGA